GACGAACGCUGGCGGCGUGCUUAACACAUGCAAGUCGAACGGAAAGGCCCUGCUUUUGUGGGGUGCUCGAGUGGCGAACGGGUGGGUAACACGUGAGUAACCUGCCCUUGACUUUGGGAUAACUUCAGGAAACUGGGGCUAAUACCGGAUAGGAGCUCCUGCUGCAUGGUGUGGGUUGGAAAGUUUCGGCGGUUGGGGAUGGACUCGCGGCUUAUGCGCUUGUUGGUGGGGUAGUGGCUUACCAAGGCUUUGACGGGUAGCCGGCCUGAGAGGGUGACCGGCCACAUUGGGACUGAGAUACGGCCCAGAAUCCUACGGGAGGCAGCAGUGGGGAAUAUUGCACAAUGGGCGGAAGCCUGAUGCAGCAACGCCGCGUGCGGGAUGACGGCCCUCGGGUUGUAAACCGCUUUCGCCGGUGACGAAGCGUGAGUGACGGUAAUGGGUAAAGAAGCACCGGCUAACUACGUG
RNAcentral lists this ribosomal RNA (468 nucleotides) under uncultured bacterium. Its description in RNAcentral is "partial 16S ribosomal RNA". It matches the Rfam family "Bacterial small subunit ribosomal RNA", at positions 28 to 507 of the family's 1533-position model. The record is from RNAcentral.